UUAACUUCUGGAAAUUUUUUGGUUGGAGUCUCCGGUGACUCGCCGGGGAAGACGACCGGAGCUGUAGCUCCGGCGUCUGUGAUUGUUAGGGUUUAUGCUGACUAUUUUCCGCGUGUGUGCUUGCUUGGACGUUUGAUUGGCUACGAAGGCUUUGACCUUGCCACGCGUGUUUUGAAUGCUGAGUGUGCGUGCUGACAUCGUUUAAUGAAACGGUGCGUUUUGCUCAUUCAAAUGAGGAGCGUUGAU
RNAcentral lists this long non-coding RNA (246 nucleotides) under Lathyrus oleraceus (garden pea). RNAcentral's name for it is "Pisum sativum (pea) long non-coding RNA (PSAT_LNC018866)". Lineage: Eukaryota; Viridiplantae; Streptophyta; Magnoliopsida; Fabales; Fabaceae. The record is from RNAcentral.